UCCGCAGCCGCUCCCGGAAGGGGGCGAGAGGGGCUUUCAACUCAGUAGUGUUUCCGGGCGCCUACUCGAGAGUGAAACUGAAACUGAGGGCUUUCAGGCCCGCGGGUAACAGGCAUCUAGAAAGAUUUUUGCAACUCAGGGUUUUCCAAGUUCCACUUGGCAUGACUUACUGCAAGAAGCUGUUAUGAAAGUCUCACUUAAAAAGUCAGCUUGCACCAAGGAUGAUUGACUUGGCAUAGUUCCCAGGGACGUAGGUCAUCUCUCAGCUGUCUUUAAGAAAUGUGCAACAGAUUAAGAAAAAGUCUGAAAACUAUUUCAAUAGGUCCAUGCUGUGGAUCUUCUGAAGCCAGAAGAGGGAUACAUUGUAUAAAGAAGCUUUCCCACUGUCAUGGCACUUACAAGCAUUCUUUGCUGUAUAAACUAUCUGAUGCUGAAUCAAGGCAGACUGAUGAAUCAAGGUUUUACUACACUGAUUCCAACCAAAGCAUUUCUCUUCCAAAUGUUUUUUUAAGAUCAUCAAAAACUCUUGCAUUCUGAGUAAAGCCUUUUCAACAAGUGUUUCUCACCUGUGUAAAGUCUCCAAUGUCGACUAAAGAGUA
Cebus imitator (Panamanian white-faced capuchin) is the source of this 599-nucleotide long non-coding RNA. RefSeq lists it as uncharacterized. The transcript has 4 exons. Lineage: Eukaryota; Metazoa; Chordata; Mammalia; Primates; Cebidae. The record is from RefSeq and is a predicted model, not a curated record.